Molecule: long non-coding RNA, 232 nt
Filed under: Oryza brachyantha (malo sina)
Lineage: Eukaryota; Viridiplantae; Streptophyta; Magnoliopsida; Poales; Poaceae
Description: long non-coding RNA (OBRA_LNC003390)
Source: RNAcentral
AGGUAGAAGAGAAGAUAAUACGAAUUUCGGGCUCAUAAUUAAAAAGACAACAAUAUCACUCCAAAUUUCUACUACUCCUAAUACUGUUGGUAGUAUAAUUUAAUCACAACCAUUCGAUAAAAAAUAGAUCAAUGGUAUUGAUUAAAAUCUACUUCCAGUAGAACGCACCAAAAAAGAGCUUAUUUUUAACAUCAAUAGUAUGGAAUAUGUUUAGUAAUAGAAUUGGUUUCCU